This 440-nucleotide ribosomal RNA is filed under the name uncultured bacterium. RNAcentral describes it as "partial 16S ribosomal RNA". It matches the Rfam family "Bacterial small subunit ribosomal RNA", at positions 338 to 795 of the family's 1533-position model. The record is from RNAcentral.
CCUACGGGUGGCAGCAGUGGGGAAUAUUGCUCAAUGGGGGAGACCCUGAAGCAGCGAAGCCGCGUGAGGGAUGACGGACUUCGGUUUGUAAAACCCUUUUUGCAGGGAAGAAAAUGACGGUAUCUGAGUAAUAAGCCCCGGCUAACUACGUGCCAGCAGCCGCGGUAAUACGGCGGGGGCAAGCGUUAUUCGGAAUUACUGGGUGUAAAGGGGGCGUAGACGGGAGUGCAAGUCUGGAGUGAAAGGCGAGGGCUUAACCCUCGUACUGCCCUUGAAACUGUACUGCUGGAGUGCAGGAGGGGUAAGUGGAAUUCCUGGUGUAGCGGUGAAAUGCGUAGAUAUUAGGAGGAACACCAGUGGCGAAGGCGGCUUACUGGACUCUAACUGACGUUGAGGCACGAAAGCGUGGGGAGCAAACAGGAUUAGAUACCCUUGUAGUC